GCCUGCUGUGGCACGAGGUGCUGGUGGGCUGGGAGCGCGCCAAGGCCCAGGGCGAGCCACCGUUCCCGGCGCUGCAGCUGGCG
RNAcentral lists this transfer RNA (83 nucleotides) under Methylibium sp. T29. RNAcentral describes it as "tRNA-Pro". Lineage: Bacteria; Pseudomonadati; Pseudomonadota; Betaproteobacteria; Burkholderiales; Sphaerotilaceae. The record is from RNAcentral. RNAcentral also lists the same sequence under 1 other name.